CGUAUUUCACUUCACCUUAAAAUAAUGCAUUUAAAAUUGUUCAACUGGUUUCCUUUAGCAAUUCGUUUAUUUAUAUUGCCGAGGAUGGAAAAGCGAGGGUCUGCCAAGACGGAAGAGACACCUGGGGAGAUGGCGAAGAAACAAAAUGGCCGCCAUUGGACGGAUCGCUUCUAUCAGAGAGAUGGAAUUAACGAUCGGGUGCAUUCGAUGGAAUCAUGACACUUCCUGCGAUUGGAUGACGAUUGACAUCGAUUGGCAGAGAUCGAGUCCAAGUGACAGGAGUCGUGUCGGUCUAGGUAUCACUGUAGCGGUUAAUUUCGUUUGACUCUAGUUGAAAGACGAUCAUAGUACGUAGCGACGAGUCGACGGAGGUCGAAUGUCGCACUAUAAAUAAACCGGAUCGAUCGAUCAGCGAUGGAAAUCGUCAACAAGCACCGAGAGGCGUCCAGGCGUCGGGACGCCACCUCCCGUGGGUAAUUAUACGGCCCUUGUACAUGGACGAACGCAUUCCGUUAAAACGCAGAGUCUACGUCGAUGAGAUUAUGAACAGGGCCGUUGCUUGUCGGGUGAGGAGCAGCUGUUACCAUCCGAGAAUCCCUCUUUCUCGCUCACGCAUGCGCGCAUACAGCGACAACUUCCGGCCUUAGCAAGAAACCCCGCGGAGCGUCUCGGCGCUGAAUUUAUUUCGGGCUCGAUACAACUGCAAGAAGAAACACCACGUGUACCGACGUACCAAUGACACGAUAAAGUUGAGAGAGAGAGAGAGAGAGAUAGAGAGAGAUACGAACAGUCGCAUUCGCCGGCCCCCUGCAUCGUUUAAUGCACUAAGCAGACGCUUUACAUAACCUAACUUCUCGUUAUCUCAAAAGGAACGUCCACAUAUCUGACGCAAAGGAAUUCUACAUGGAAAUAAAUAGUAAAUUAUGAAAGAUUUGUAUGAGACAUGGAAAUAAAAUUAAAAAAUUAAGAAGUAA
Molecule: long non-coding RNA, 974 nt
Organism: Orussus abietinus
Lineage: Eukaryota; Metazoa; Arthropoda; Insecta; Hymenoptera; Orussidae
Exons: 2
Source: RefSeq, a predicted model, not a curated record